AACCUUAUGGACCUGCGGGCGUAUACCUGCGGAAGGAUCAUUACAAGUGACCCCGGUCUAACCACCGGGAUGUUCAUAACCCUUUGUUGUCCGACUCUGUUGCCUCCGGGGCGACCCUGCCUUCGGGCGGGGGCUCCGGGUGGACACUUCAAACUCUUGCGUAACUUUGCAGUCUGAGUAAAUUUAAUUAAUAAAUUAAAACUUUUAGCAACGGAUCU
Molecule: unclassified non-coding RNA, 218 nt
Filed under: soil metagenome
Description: partial contains 5.8S ribosomal RNA, internal transcribed spacer 2, and large subunit ribosomal RNA
Source: RNAcentral